AGAGUUUGAUCAUGGCUCAGAAUGAACGCUGGCGGCGUGCUUUACACAUGCAAGUCGAGCGAGGCGGCCCGCAAGGGUCAGUCGAGCGGCGAACGGGUGAGUAACGCGUGGAUUAUCUACCCUGAGGUGGGGGAUAACCCGGGGAAACUCGGGCUAAUACCGCAUAUGACCGCGAGGUCAAAGGGGGGUCGCAAGAUCUCUCGCCAUAGGAGGAGUCCGCGUUCGAUUAGCUAGUUGGUAGGGUAAUGGCCUACCAAGGCGACGAUCGAUAGCCGGCCUGAGAGGGUGAUCGGCCACACUGGAACUGAGACACGGUCCAGACUCCUACGGGAGGCAGCAGUGGGGAAUUUUGCGCAAUGGGCUAACGCCUGACGCAGCAACGCCGCGUGGAGGAUGAAGGUCUUUGGAUUGUAAACUCCUGUCGACCGGGAAAAAGCAACCCGACCUCAUACGUCGGGAAGUUGAUUGUACCGGUGGAGGAAGCCCCGGCUAACUCUGUGCCAGCAGCCGCGGUAAUACAGAGGGGGCAAGCGUUAUUCGGAAUUAUUGGGCGUAAAGGGCGCGUAGGCGGCCUGGCAAGUGGAAGGUGAAAUCCCUCGGCUUAACCGAGGAACUGCCCUCCAAACUGCUUGGCUUGAGUCCGGGAGAGGUGAGUGGAAUUCCCAGUGUAGCGGUGAAAUGCGUAGAUAUUGGGAGGAACACCAGUGGCGAAGGCGGCUCACUGGACCGGAACUGACGCUGAUGCGCGAAAGCGUGGGGAGCAAACGGGAUUAGAUACCCUAGUAGUCC
RNAcentral lists this ribosomal RNA (789 nucleotides) under uncultured bacterium. Its description in RNAcentral is "bacterial SSU rRNA". It matches the Rfam family "Bacterial small subunit ribosomal RNA", at positions 8 to 796 of the family's 1533-position model. The record is from RNAcentral.